This 483-nucleotide unclassified non-coding RNA is filed under the name Endiandra globosa. RNAcentral's name for it is "partial miscellaneous RNA". The stretch from base 432 to 483 matches the Rfam family "tRNA", at positions 1 to 49 of the family's 71-position model. Lineage: Eukaryota; Viridiplantae; Streptophyta; Magnoliopsida; Laurales; Lauraceae. The record is from RNAcentral.
UCUAGACCUAGCUGCUGUCGAAGUUCCAUCUACAAUGGAUAAUCCUUCGGUCUUAGUGUAUACGAGUCGUUGAAGGAUCAAUACCAAACUUCUUGAUAAAACAAGAAGUUUGGUAUUGAUCUGUUUGAUUCAGUAGUGGUUUAUUCGCAUAAGCAUCUUUCAUUUUCAUUUCUUUUAUUCAACUUAAGAAAACAAAACGUGUUGGUUAGUUCAUGAUCGAAUAUCGUAGUUUCUUCUGUACCAAUCUGUAAUUUAUGUACUACGUUCCUCAAAAUCAUUUGAUUUUUUCCUAAAAGAAUUUUUCUUAUUUUACAGGAUUGGCAUUUUAUGUACAAUAUCUCUAUCUCAGUAUGAAGGAAAGUGAAAGUAAUAAAGACUAAAUACAAAAAUAAUGAAUGGUGAAAAUUGAAUCCUUUUGAGAGAUAGGAGGGGCGGAUGUAGCCAAGUGGAUCAAGGCAGUGGAUUGUGAAUCCACCAUGCGCG